Molecule: non-coding RNA, 26 nt
Filed under: Mus musculus (house mouse)
Lineage: Eukaryota; Metazoa; Chordata; Mammalia; Rodentia; Muridae
Source: RNAcentral
UCACCAGAGACUAUGAAAGCCAGAAG